RNAcentral lists this ribosomal RNA (244 nucleotides) under uncultured bacterium. Its description in RNAcentral is "partial 16S ribosomal RNA". It matches the Rfam family "Bacterial small subunit ribosomal RNA", at positions 337 to 598 of the family's 1533-position model. The record is from RNAcentral.
UCCUACGGGGGGCAGCAGUGGGGGAUAUUGCACAAUGGGUGAAACCCUGAUGCAGCGACGCCGCGUGGGUGAAGAAGCGCCUCGGCGCGUAAAGCCCUGUCAGCAGGGGAGAAAAUGACGGUACCUGAAGAAGAAGCCCCGGCUAAAUACGUGCCAGCAGCCGCGGUAAUACGUAGGGGGCAAGGGUUGUCCGGAAUGACUGGGCGUAAAGGGCGUGUAGGCGGGUUAUUAAGUUAGAAGUGAA